Molecule: non-coding RNA, 424 nt
Organism: Meleagris gallopavo (turkey)
Lineage: Eukaryota; Metazoa; Chordata; Aves; Galliformes; Phasianidae
Source: RefSeq, a predicted model, not a curated record
GUCUGCACCUCCCUUAGACCUCAUUUAAGGGCUGACUGCCCCUGGGGAAGGAUCUCUGGUUGGAGAUCUUUCCCUUUCUGGAGAUUUUCCUGUGAGCCUUGAUCUUCAGAGAUGGGUUGUUUACCUGUCCGUAGCCAGAUGUUCUGGACAGCAAAAAGCCACAUUGGGCUAGAGACUGAGGAAGAGAGAACAGGAUCAGAAAAAAAUGCCAGGAGAAUAGGGAGAUAACAGAAAUCUAUAGGAUGGAAAAAAAAGAAAGAACAGCUUGUCAUCUCUGCAGCCUGCUGGCUCUAAUGCAACUCUGCCAAGCUAAAAUCCACUUCAUCUACAGUAACUUGAUGAUUUUACAGUAACUUGAUGGUGUACAGUAAUCCUCUUGACCUCCUGACUUCAGCAAAAUAAAUCUGAAUGUUUUGAACUCUUA